Molecule: ribosomal RNA, 1677 nt
Filed under: Salmonella enterica subsp. enterica serovar Typhimurium
Lineage: Bacteria; Pseudomonadati; Pseudomonadota; Gammaproteobacteria; Enterobacterales; Enterobacteriaceae
Description: partial 23S ribosomal RNA
Rfam family: Bacterial large subunit ribosomal RNA
Source: RNAcentral
GAUUCGUCACACUAUCAUUAACUGAAUCCAUAGGUUAAUGAGGCGAACCGGGGGAACUGAAACAUCUAAGUACCCCGAGGAAAAGAAAUCAACCGAGAUUCCCCCAGUAGCGGCGAGCGAACGGGGAGGAGCCCAGAGCCUGAAUCAGCAUGUGUGUUAGUGGAAGCGUCUGGAAAGGCGCGCGAUACAGGGUGACAGCCCCGUACACAAAAGCGCAUGUGCUGUGAGCUCGAUGAGUAGGGCGGGACACGUGGUAUCCUGUCUGAAUAUGGGGGGACCAUCCUCCAAGGCUAAAUACUCCUGACUGACCGAUAGUGAACCAGUACCGUGAGGGAAAGGCGAAAAGAACCCCGGCGAGGGGAGUGAAAAAGAACCUGAAACCGUGUACGUACAAGCAGUGGGAGCACCCUUCGGGGUGUGACUGCGUACCUUUUGUAUAAUGGGUCAGCGACUUAUAUUCUGUAGCAAGGUUAACCGUAUAGGGGAGCCGGAGGGAAACCGAGUCUUAACCGGGCGUUAAGUUGCAGGGUAUAGACCCGAAACCCGGUGAUCUAGCCAUGGGCAGGUUGAAGGUUGGGUAACACUAACUGGAGGACCGAACCGACUAAUGUUGAAAAAUUAGCGGAUGACCUGUGGCUGGGGGUGAAAGGCCAAUCAAACCGGGAGAUAGCUGGUUCUCCCCGAAAGCUAUUUAGGUAGCGCCUCGUGAAUUCAUCUCCGGGGGUAGAGCACUGUUUCGGCUAGGGGGCCAUCCCGGCUUACCAACCCGAUGCAAACUGCGAAUACCGGAGAAUGUUAUCACGGGAGACACACGGCGGGUGCUAACGUCCGUCGUGAAGAGGGAAACAACCCAGACCGCCAGCUAAGGUCCCAAAGUCAUGGUUAAGUGGGAAACGAUGUGGGAAGGCCCAGACAGCCAGGAUGUUGGCUUAGAAGCAGCCAUCAUUUAAAGAAAGCGUAAUAGCUCACUGGUCGAGUCGGCCUGCGCGGAAGAUGUAACGGGGCUAAACCAUGCACCGAAGCUGCGGCAGCGAACGUAUCACCCAAGACAACUUUACGGAGUUGACGAUUGACGGAGCGAAGCGACGUCAAAGCGUUCAUUAAAGUCGAGUUGGCUUAGGGAUACGUUCGUUGGGUAGGGGAGCGUUCUGUAAGCCUGUGAAGGUGUGUCGUGAGGCAUGCUGGAGGUAUCAGAAGUGCGAAUGCUGACAUAAGUAACGAUAAAGCGGGUGAAAAGCCCGCUCGCCGGAAGACCAAGGGUUCCUGUCCAACGUUAAUCGGGGCAGGGUGAGUCGACCCCUAAGGCGAGGCCGAAAGGCGUAGUCGAUGGGAAACGGGUUAAUAUUCCCGUACUUGGUGUUACUGCGAAGGGGGGACGGAGAAGGCUAUGUUGGCCGGGCGACGGUUGUCCCGGUUUAAGCGUGUAGGUGUGUGUUCCAGGUAAAUCCGGUUCACUUUAACACUGAGGCGUGACGACGAGGCACUACGGUGCUGAAGCAACAAAUGCCCUGCUUCCAGGAAAAGCCUCUAAGCAUCAGGUAACACGAAAUCGUACCCCAAACCGACACAGGUGGUCAGGUAGAGAAUACCAAGGCGCUUGAGAGAACUCGGGUGAAGGAACUAGGCAAAAUGGUGCCGUAACUUCGGGAGAAGGCACGCUGACACGUAGGUGAAGUG